AAAGAUGCUGCUGCGGCCUCCUUAGGCUCAUAUACCUCUGCACUCUAUGCCCUGUGCGAUCCUCAUGGCAAACCCAUUUUGCCCCCACGAAAUGAGAUCCUGGAGACCAGCAAUACAGCCGAAAAAGCAGUUGUUAAAGCUGUUCUUUAUGGCUCGGGAAACGCCUAUGCUCCUAGCUUAGGCCUCGCGGCCGCCAAAAGGUAAUAUACAUAAAUACAUUAUUAUUGAUAACAUGUCUACAUAAGAUUUCUUGAAAUUUCCAUAUUACAAACAGCUCCGUAUUGGUACAUUUUAUCUCUAAUGGUUAUGUGCUGAAAGUGUAACUAGAUCCAAUUUAUUUUGGUAGAGUCUGACUUUGAAUUUUGGAACGGUCGUUUUGUUAAUUUGUUCACAAAACCUUUCCAAAAUCAUUUGUCAUUUUUGGUAUAUAUGCUUAAAUGAACAUUUAGUUUGGUUUAACUCAAAUUUAGCAAUCCCAAAAUUUUGGAACUUGGAAGGGACCAAAUAUUUUUGAUUAAAUUCUGAUUUAGCCCCGUUGGACACUUCUAUUUUGCAUCCUAACUCUAUUUAUAUAUCUUUGACACAAUCAUUUUUGCUUCCGUAUUCUCAGUGCCGUAGCAGAGUAUCUAAACCAAGGUCUUCCAAAGAAGCUUACCGCAGAUGACGUGUUUAUGACUCUGGGAUGCAAACAAGCUAUUGAGCUCGCGGUAGACAUUCUCGCUAAACCGAAAGCCAACGUUUUGCUUCCGAGUCCC
RNAcentral lists this long non-coding RNA (755 nucleotides) under Arabidopsis thaliana (thale cress). RNAcentral describes it as "long non-coding RNA (ATHA_LNC000291)". The record is from RNAcentral. Lineage: Eukaryota; Viridiplantae; Streptophyta; Magnoliopsida; Brassicales; Brassicaceae.